GCAGUCGAGCGGUAAGGCCUUUCGGGGUACACGAGCGGCGAACGGGUGAGUAACACGUGGGUGAUCUGCCCUGCACUUCGGGAUAAGCCUGGGAAACUGGGUCUAAUACCGGAUAUGACCUCCUGUCGCAUGGUGGGUGGUGGAAAGAUUUAUCGGUGCAGGAUGGGCCCGCGGCCUAUCAGCUUGUUGGUGGGGUAAUGGCCUACCAAGGCGACGACGGGUAGCCGACCUGAGAGGGUGACCGGCCACACUGGGACUGAGACACGGCCCAGACUCCUACGGGAGGCAGCAGUGGGGAAUAUUGCACAAUGGGCGAAAGCCUGAUGCAGCGACGCCGCGUGAGGGAUGACGGCCUUCGGGUUGUAAACCUCUUUCAGCAGGGACGAAGCGCAAGUGACGGUACCUGCAGAAGAAGCACCGGCUAACUACGUGCCAGCAGCCGCGGUAAUACGUAGGGUGCAAGCGUUGUCCGGAAUUACUGGGCGUAAAGAGUUCGUAGGCGGUUUGUCGCGUCGUUUGUGAAAACCAGCAGCUCAACUGCUGGCUUGCAGGCGAUACGGGCAGACUUGAGUACUGCAGGGGAGACUGGAAUUCCUGGUGUAGCGGUGAAAUGCGCAGAUAUCAGGAGGAACACCGGUGGCGAAGGCGGGUCUCUGGGCAGUAACUGACGCUGAGGAACGAAAGCGUGGGGUAGCGAACAGGAUUAGAUACCCUGGUAGUCCACGCCGUAAACGGUGGGCGCUAGGUGUGGGUUCCUUCCACGGAAUCCGUGCCGUAGCUAACGCAUUAAGCGCCCCGCCUGGGGAGUACGGCCGCAAGGCUA
This 823-nucleotide ribosomal RNA is filed under the name Rhodococcus sp. TCA1-1_Pa. RNAcentral's name for it is "bacterial SSU rRNA". It matches the Rfam family "Bacterial small subunit ribosomal RNA", at positions 57 to 896 of the family's 1533-position model. The record is from RNAcentral. Lineage: Bacteria; Bacillati; Actinomycetota; Actinomycetes; Mycobacteriales; Nocardiaceae.